UACGGAGGGUGCAAGCGUUAUCCGGAUUUACUGGGUUUAAAGGGUGCGUAGGUGGGUCUGUAAGUCAGUGGUGAAAUCUUCGAGCUUAACUCGGAAACUGCCAUUGAUACUAUAGGUCUUGAAUUAUCUGGAGGUAAGCGGAAUGUGUCAUGUAGCGGUGAAAUGCUUAGAUAUGACAUAGAACACCAAUUGCGAAGGCAGCUUACUACGGAUCGAUUGACACUGAGGCACGAAGGCGUGGGGAUCAAACAGG
Molecule: ribosomal RNA, 253 nt
Filed under: uncultured bacterium
Lineage: Bacteria
Description: partial 16S ribosomal RNA
Rfam family: Bacterial small subunit ribosomal RNA
Source: RNAcentral